This 60-nucleotide transfer RNA is filed under the name Loxodonta africana (African savanna elephant). It matches the Rfam family "tRNA", at positions 14 to 71 of the family's 71-position model. Rfam says of the family: Transfer RNA (tRNA) molecules are approximately 80 nucleotides in length. Lineage: Eukaryota; Metazoa; Chordata; Mammalia; Proboscidea; Elephantidae. The record is from Rfam by way of RNAcentral.
AGUAGUUAAAGCACUCGGCUGUUAACCGAAAGGUCGGCGGUUCAAACCCGCCAACUGCUC